UGGGGAAUAUUGCACAAUGGGCGCAAGCCUGAUGCAGCCAUGCCGCGUGUGUGAAGAAGGCCUUCGGGUUGUAAAGCACUUUCAGCGAGGAGGAAGGUGGUGGACUUAAUACGUUCAUCAAUUGACGUUACUCGCAGAAGAAGCACCGGCUAACUCCGUGCCAGCAGCCGCGGUAAUACGGAGGGUGCAAGCGUUAAUCGGAAUUACUGGGCGUAAAGCGCACGCAGGCGGUUUGUUAAGUCAGAUGUGAAAUCCCCGGGCUCAACCUGGGAACUGCAUUUGAAACUGGCAAGCUAGAGUCUCGUAGAGGGGGGUAGAAUUCCAGGUGUAGCGGUGAAAUGCGUAGAGAUCUGGAGGAAUACCGAUGGCGAAGGCGGCCCCCUGGACGAAGACUGACGCUCAGGUGCGAAAAGCGUGGGGAGCAAAACAGGAUUAGAUACCCUGGUAGUCCACGCUGUAAACGAUGUCGAUUUUGGAGGUUGUGCCCUUGAGGCGUGGCUUCCGGAGCUAACGCGUUAAAUCGACCGCCUGGGGAGUACGGCCGCAAGGUUAAAACUUAAAUGAAUUGACGGGGUC
This 576-nucleotide ribosomal RNA is filed under the name uncultured bacterium. RNAcentral's name for it is "partial 16S ribosomal RNA". It matches the Rfam family "Bacterial small subunit ribosomal RNA", at positions 355 to 920 of the family's 1533-position model. The record is from RNAcentral.